UCAGCUCCGUAAGCACUUCAUCACGCUCAAUCCCAAAUAUUUUAAUUUCGAGGCCUUAAAAUACACAAAGACCAAAAGCCAGUCUUUUGAAAAUGACAAUACCUUUGCGGUACAUUCUCAUAAAAUGAAAACUAAAUAUACAGUAAGGAUUCCAAAGAAAUGUAAAAUUGGACAUGUAACCUUUAAACAAACUCAAUUCUCAAUAAUAAAAAAAAAUAAAUCCGAAAUUAUAACAAUAACAAACUCAAACAAAAAAAAAAUCAAAACUUAAAUAACGAAUAGCUACAGCAGUUAAUAGCGAGAAAUGACAUCUUAUUCGGCUUCAAUUUUAUUUGAAAAAAAAAAAAAAAGUUAACCUUUUUGAGAUCGGUGGCUUUAAUAGUGCCUUCUUCAGAGACCUGGACCUGGUACUUUUUACCGGUCCGUUCAUCGAUGAUCGUCAACGCACCCUUAACGUUGGGCGGAGGCGGGACGGAUUGAGCGGAGACGCAGGAACGUUCUAGAAUUGAGGACGGAACGGCGUCGGAAUGGUCAUGCGAAGCUGAAGCUGAAGCUGAGAGGUGAGCCGAGAGCACCGCUAAACGGCUACGAGCCACUACCGAAGAAUCCAAAUUCUCCAUCUUUUCUUUUGCUCAGAUUCAGUUGUAAAGAAAGAGAUGAAAAGAGAGAGUAGGAAGUGUUUCGUGAUUGUUACAGCUCUUUAUAUAUCCGUAGAGAUCGCUUGCGAAAGUACGCUGUAAGCAUUUACGCUAUUGCGUCUAACCAAUUAAAUAAUAAAUAAUAAAUCAAAUGAUUAUCUUCUCUCAUCCACCUAUUGACUGACUAUUGUGCAAUACAAUUUGGAUUUUGUUUCUUUCUUUUUUCUUCUUCUCCUUCUUUUUUUUUUUUUAAUGUAUGUUACUAUAUUUAGGAGCACAAACAAAUGAACUCUCAAAAGUUAAUUUCCAAAACAUAUAUAUAUAUAAUCCAUCUAAUUCAAAAUUUUAACAUAUAUAUAUAUAUACAGUAUAAUAGUUAAAAUUUUAACCAACUUUAAAGCCAUGGAAAUUCACAUCAAAUCAACAAAUUUAAAGUGCACAACAUAAAAUAGAAACUGUACCAAGUAGCAACUUUCAAUUCCCAUCCACAUGUGAUACAGCAGCACGUUAGAUUUUGAUUUUAGAUCAAUUCUUAUUAAAAUCACAAUACUUUUUUUUUUUGAUGUAAAAUAAGUCCAAUUACAAAGACCUAUAAAUUUGAUAAUUUCUUCAAAAAAAUUUUGCGACAUAUAUCAGUGUGUUUGAAUAGUAAUUAUUUGAGAUAAAUUUGUAAAAAAAGACUAUAGCACUUUUUUAAUGUGAUGUAUGUAAAAUAAAAAGAUAGUUAAAAAAUAUAUUGAUGAUAUAAGCAAAUCAGUGUAUAUAAAUAAAGUAAAAAUAAUGUAUAACCUAAACACACAUUAAAAUUUGAGCUCUCUAACAUCAACCCUUCCGAUAUCACACUAGAAAGAAGCUUCUUUGGUGUAUUGUAAGAAAACAAAAGAUUAAUUUCUAAAGCAUCAAAAUAACGGACUACUUGUUUUCACGUAAUAGCGUGUUUGAAUAGCAAAUUAUUUGAAAUAUUAUUUAGAAUAAUUAUUAGAACACUUUUUUUGUAAUAUAGUGUACGUAAAAUAAAAAUGUGAUUGAAAAGAUAAAAAUGUGUUCUGAGAGAUAUGUUCAUAAAGAAAGCAAAUAAUUUUUGAGUAAGUGCUGGAAAACGUGCACAUUUCACAUGGCCCAAAUGGUCGGUUUUCGCUCGUAGCUUGCAAAUAAAAAAUAAAAAGCAAACAAAUGGGAAAAGUGAACUACAAAAGAACAAGGAAAGAUUUAAUAUUAACCUAUAAUAAUCCCAAAAUACAAGAUCGGGAAUCCAAAAUACCCAAUAAAAUAAUCAAAUAAUCAGAGCAGAGGAAAUAUUUAUCUCAUUGGUCAGCAAACCCGACUUUGAAUUCUGGGCUUUCAAUUCUGGGCAGAGAGUAGAACAGCUACGGAGGCUUCGGUGCAGCCGGACACGUCCCAUUUCCGAAAAACAAAUACUGCCACCUACUAAUUGCAUUGCAAAUUGCGGCAGUGUGCUUUCUUAAACUUCAUAAAGUCUUGAACAAAAGUUACUGCGGAUUAUAUACCGACCAAACAAAAUUGUUUGUUCAUAGUAUCCCACCCAACAGCAGCCGCCUCUAACCACUAUAAUAUAUAACCUCGACAAAACUGUAGCUUGAUCCAGCUGAAGAUAUAGCUCAUUCAGUGUUUUUUGUGCCGUAAGCGAUGAAAUUUACACUGAUAUCAUCAGAUAGAGACCAUUUUCCUGUCAAAGGGUUAUACACAAACCCUGCCAUCUCUUGAACCUGGACAAACCCCAAGAGCAUGAGACACCUUUCAUAGGAUUCAAUGUCUACUAAAAAAGGGCUAAAAAAUAAAGGACUGGGGUAUGUAUUCUACUUACAGAGAUGGAGGCCCGUUGAAGAAUUAGAACAAGUUCUUCAGGGGUAAGGAAGCUUGACCACUCAUGUGUGCCCUUGGGUAGCUGUCAAACAGAAGAAUCAUUUAACCUCUCAUACGAUUCACAAAGUAGUACAAAAAACCACACCAGAUGAUGUUGUGUGAAAAAUCAGCCUGUUAAGCAAGGCAGCUAUCUAAGGCAGACUAAUCAAACGCUAUCUCGGGAUAAAAACCAUGCAGUGAGAUGGUUAUCAUAAUGUGUCUCCAAAUUGGUUGAAUAAAUAAGAGAUAUCUGAAUCGGCCAUGGUUGACCCAGGUACACAGUACAAGAUAAUCAACACGAGUCAUAGAAAUUGAAGCUUUUCCUGUAACAGUACAGAAUUGUAAAAUUGUCUUGAUGAGCAGAACAAAUGACAAGCAAGUUUAUCAGGAAUCAAAAUAGUAAACAUGAAUAAAAGAGUGUGUUAAUUCUCUCAACUUUUAUCCAUUUUUACAGACGGUCCACUUUUAUUCUAAAGGACGUCAACAAAUAUCAAAGAAUUGUUUCAUAUUAAUGUUAAAGGAAAAAGUCAAUUUCUUUGAAGGAAAUUGGCGAAAAGAACGUGAAAAUUAUGACCAAAAAAGCUCCACUAACGUUAAGCCAAUAGACAAACAUGGUGUGGAUUAGAUAGGCUUACCCAAUGUAAGAGAUACUCGGCAACAACAAUGGCAGUUGCAUAUGCUCUCAUGGAACGAUUUAUUGUUGAAAUCACAUUAGCUCCGCCAGAAACAGUCAGUGCUGACAAUGACUUGCAGAAUUCAGCAGGUUCUGCUACAUGCUCGAUAACCUAGAUGAAAAACAGCAGCUAAGACAUAGUUCUUCCAUUACAAAUAGCAAGAAAAAAAAAUGAUCAUUAAAUGCUACUACAUUACUUGCUAAAUGAGAUGAUAAAACACAAAAUCUAGCAUAGUAGGAAGAACAAGAAAGCAGUUAAUAACCAGAUACAAGUGUCAGGUUCAGUUUAGAACGUAGCAGACAAUGCAUGGCCACCGUUUAGUCAAUUUCACAGUAGGAUAAGUUGCAUAAUUGUUACCAUAAACUUACCUCUAAAGCCAAUACAGCAUCAAAUUUCCUCUGCUCUUCCACCAACUUUUCUGUUCAUGAAAUUGCGAGUGCAUCAGCAGGAUGAAGGACAAAUAACAGUCAAAGGGCUUGAUAUGACUAAAUUGAAAAAGAUCAAAAAUAUCGUGCUCCAUAAAUGUCACAAAUAAGGAUGCAUGGAAAGUCAUUCCAUCUAAAAAUGUACCAAAAGAAAUAGUUUCAAAGAACCUUCUUGCAUAGAGGUUUGAAACAUUAAACUUCACCAUCAGAGCUUUGCUAAAUCUGCUUCUAUCUCUUUCAGAAAAAUCUUUUAGAAACUAAUCUUUACUCACUAGGCACCAACUACACGAAAGAUUUAUGGUAAAACUAAAAUACUGAAGCAUUGGAAACUAGAAUAUGUUGUUUGAGCACUAUACGCUGCCAGGCUCAGACAAGUUAGCGUAGCUCCACAACCAUAUACAUCAUUAAGACUGCCACAUACCUAAACUGACUCUUAGAAUCUUUUUCUAUUGGAUAUAAUCUCUAUUCAAAAUACCAUCAGCCAAGGUAAACAAGCAUAAACUAAGCAUAUAAAAAGGUUGGCUUGGACAUUAAAAACUAUAAAUAAUCGAUGAAUAACGACCUUCAUAUUUCAAAAACAAGUAUGGCAUGUACCAGCUGUUGUGCAAAGAUACUCAAUCGAUGAAGUCCCUGGAUCCAAAUCCUGGAAAAGUUACAUGUUCAAUAUAGCCCUAUUAAAUGCUGAAAGCUGUAGAAAAACUUUCUUUUGCCACUCUUGCAGGGGAAAAAAAAAACAGAAAAAAACAACAGGCAAAAACAAUUGAUUGGAGUUUUAGUACAAUAAGGUCCACAUUGGGUAAUCAUAAAUUUGUAAAUAUGGACGACAUAGAUAUAUAUAUAUAUAUAUACACACACACAAAUGUAAUGGACAUCAACUUUCAUAUCCAUCCUACAAGAAAACAUACUGCAUGAAGUUGAGCAAUAUUGAUAUUCUUCUCCACAGCGAGGUCUGGUACCUCAAAAUUGAUAUAGACAAUGCAGAAAAUACAAAGUAUUUCACACUUGCCAGCUUCACGCAUCAAAUGAAUUCAUCUACAUUCAAAAAGUAUCGGAAAUCAAAAGGAAGAAAAUAUGUCCAACAACUUCUUCACCAUUUAAAUGAAGCAUUGCAUCAGUGAAUAUACGAAAUAAAAUAGAAAAUCUGUAUAAAAUUGGACAGCGGCAAAUGGGUCCAAGAUAAAGCUGUAGCAAUGCCACCCUCCCUGGCUUUUGGACCUCGUCUUGCAGAUUUCCAGCAAGAUGUGUAGCGCAAAUGCGAGCUUCAACUCGGACCUCUUGGGCAUAGCCAAAUCAAUCCAAAAUCCCUCUAGUUCAGCUGUAGUACAAUGGGAUUGGCUUUUGCAAGGAUUACGCUGGCGAAGUGUCAUCAGUUUUUGGUUCAUCUGCCUGUUCCCAAUUUUUACCGGCGGCAGUGAAGGGUGUUGAAUAUGUUGGUUGUUGGGUCUGCGAAAGAACGACAGAGGUGGUUUAUUUAUGCGAGGUCUUCCAGCUCAUUUUUUCGUAAUAACUUUAGAAUUUAUCCUCAAGAAAGCCUACGACUUUAAUUUACGGUCAUGGGUACGAAAUUUUUUGUCAAGACUUCCAUAUCUGUCAUGCAGUACUACCAAUCAGAAACAAAAUGGGUGGACACCUAGCAAUGUGGAUAUAAUGGAGGACUAGACCACGUAAUUUUAACUACGAGCACUGGAACGGUUGAACCCAUAUCUUGUCAAAACUAGGAAAGUAAGGCGAUUCUCUUCCAUUAGUCUUCUACUUCUUCAUGAUUAGUUUCUUGAUUAGAGCUUACGACUGAUCUGCAUCCGCUUAAUCUCCAAGUGGGAUUCUGUGAUUUUCUCGUAUGAAUGCUUUUAGUUGAGUUAUCAUACAGUUGAGCUUGAGCAUACUCUUGACAAUUUCUGAAAUGUUACUGAAGAAAUCAGGUGAUUAGUUUUUGUUGUUUAUGCUGGUUCUUGAUGGUCCAUGUUUCUCCAUGAUACAUCUACAGGUACAAAUUUCUUAUAGAUUUGCAGAGGGAAUGUGAAGAUGAACAGCAUUACUCAUUUUAGCCCUCCACAUGAGCUUAAGCGAGAGGAAAUGGUUAUACGGAGUUACGAGAAAUGUAAACUGUGUCAGCAAGAGGUUCUUCCAGGAGUGGUAUAUAGGUGUGAGAGACCUAAAUACUUCGUUCAUGGAAGCUGUGCUGAACUUCCAUGGCAUCUGAGGCAUCCCUUUCAUCCUGAUCACACUCUUACUCAAUUUGACAUCGCACCUGACUCCAAAAGUUGCAGUGUUUGUGGUGACCAUUUUGGGGGCUGCGCUUACCGGUGCUCUGAAUGUGAAUUCGUAUUGAAUCUUUCUUGUGCUGCCUUGACACCUUCCAGGAUUAGGGGUCCAGAACUUAAGAUUAAUCAUCAGCAUCCCGUUACUGCUUUUGACAAACCAAAAGACCACAAGUAUUCCUGCUUUAUUUGUGGCGAACCUUUUGGAUAUUAUCAAGCUAUCUACUUUUGUUCGGAAUACAAACGUUUGAUGCAUGAAUCAUGCUUCACAAUUCCACAAACACAAAUCGAGCGUCCCUUUCACCGCUGUAAACGCUCAACCACCUUGACCUUUCUGCUUCGUACUCUUCCGGACAGGCUCUGCAAUCUUUGCGGUCAAUGGCCAAGUCCGCGUUUUUUUAUUCCAAUGUUCCUCGUGCGACUACUGUGAAGACCUUGAUUGUGCCAAGUUGGUGCCAACAAUCAUGGACUCCGACAGACCUGAUCAUGGAUACAUUGAAGUUCAACCUACAAGCCACGACCAUCGUUUGAUUCAAUGUAACAGUAUAAAGAAUUUCAAACGUAACUGCUCUGGUUGUGGACUACCAUUCGAUGAUUCCAUUUACGUUUGCCUUCAUUGCCGUGCAUUGCUACAUGAAUCGUGUGCUAACAUGCCCGAGAAGGUCAUACACUCUUUUCACCCUCAACCUCAACAUUGCCUUACCCUUUUUGAUCGUAGUUCGAGUCUCCUUUAUGCUUCCGUUUUCUGUAGUGCAUGUGGUGUCCCUAAAAACCUCAUUUACAUGUGUCAGAAGUGUAAUUUUAGCUUGGACAUUAAAUGUGCUACUGCAAAGCACCCCUUAAUUAGGUCUAAAAUUCAUCAGGAUGAUCUUGCUUACUUCAACAACACAUCAGACAACUGAGACAUGAGCAAGAGCUGUUGGCGACUAAAGUUGCCUAAAUUCAGAUCAAUCAAAUGAUUUAUAAAUGUUCUAAGGCCACAGUUCCACCAAUAUUAAUGUUGUAUGUUGUUUUUUAAAUAUAACAAUCCAUUAUCUUAGCCCCUGAGUCGGAAGCCUCUGCAUUUGAUCAUAGUCUAAUUACCCAUGCUGAAACUGCAACCACAGCUAGAAACCCACACAGGAUAGCAGAUGCAAACAAAAAAGAUGGGAGUGUAUGCCUCUUAUUUGUAGCUGCUCACCUACUACUUGAGAUACAUAUGGUGCUGUAGGAACUAUUUAUAAAAAUAUAUAAAAGAAUUAUUCAAAAAAAUAAAUGCCAUGACUAGAGCCAAAGGAGAGGAGACAUAACAAGAGACAACCUUGAAUGAGUAAAUUUUUGGGUUUACCAGUAAUAGUUCACGUGCUUUGCACAUUAUUGUAAUAUUUUAAAAUAUAUUAUUCUUUAGAUACUAAAAUUUUUUUAUGAAAUUUUGAUCACCAACAUCAUAAUAAUAGUAUUUUUAUAUUAUUUAUUUUUUAAAGCUAGUUACUUUUAAAAAUUUUAUUAAAUGAAAAGAGACAGAAAACAUUACAAUGUAGUUGACAUAUCCCUUAGGAUUAAAUUUGAAAUUAUGAUCCAAACACUUUUUGAUUUAUAGCUUGAACUCUAACAUAUCAAAUAUUGAUAAUAUCAUGUUUUACCAAAAUUAUUGUAUAUUCAUGAUUCUAUUGCAUAUAAACCACAAUCAUCACAAUUUUUUAUAAAUGAAGAAUAUAAUUAAGUUAGAAAAUUAAACAUACAUGUAAUUUGAAUUCUUUGUAUCAUGUUAAUUCUAUUUUUGUCAAUAAUGGAGUCUAAAUGAUCUACCACGUAAAGUUUUUUUGGUUUGUACAUUCUAAGAAUUGAAAUUUUAUAGAUAGAGAUAGUUGAAGUUUUUUCUAUUUUGCUUUUCUUUUAUUCAUGUUUUUAGCACAAUCCAAUGCGAAACAAAAGCAACAAGUCUACUUUUUUCAUAUAAGCACAAUAUUUUUGGUUUUACUAUUAGUUGUUUCGAUGAUCAUGGAAUUGGAAUGAGAAUUGUGGCCAAUUAAUAAUUUUAAUAUUAAUUUUUUGGUAUUUUAUUUUUUAAUUGCCAACUUUUAAUCCAUAACCGCUAUCAUUAUUAUCAAUUAUUGGAAUGCACUAAAUAUGUCUAAUUACAAUUGUCACUAUAAAUGAAAUUUACUUAAUUUUAAAGCUUUUCAUUUCAUAACCGCUUCCAUUAUUCACUAAUGUUGCAAUACAAUAAAUAUAUGUAAUCGUUAGGAAAAAAAAGGGUAGUUUGGACAUCACUAAAAACAAUUUGGAUAUCAUUUUCAUUUUAUCAUUCUUCAUUUUAAAUUUACCCUUAUUAUAAUUCUUAUUUUAUCAUUAGAGAUGACUUCUGACUUGAUGGAUGGACUUGGUUUGCUCAAACCAAUAUUGUUUGUAUUCCCCGAGAUCGGAGUCAUUUUGAUGUUGUCUUUGAUAUUAUUUGAAUUGUAUUCUAGUUUUUUAAUUCAUUUGCUAUUUACUUUAUGUCAUUUUAUAAAUAGUUUACAAAUUUUUUUAAUUUUUUUUUGUUUUGAUCAGUUGCUAUUAAUGAUGAUAGUGGUUUGUAUGGUUCUAUUUUAGAUUUUUUUUUUUUCCAAUUUAAUACUGCUAUUUCAAUUAUAAAGGUGUCAUCAAUUUUUGUAUAUUGAAAUUCCAUUGGAUGCAACAUAAAAAAUUCUUCAUAUUGGAAAAAAAUGCAUAAUUGUAAAAUUUACUCGUGAUAUUUUUGUAUACAGAUGAAUAAAGAUUCUCUUGUCCUUAUAUGUUUUUUCAUUUUCUAGAGAGUAUCUAUUUUUUGAAAUUGAUUUUUCUUCUUACAAUGACAACUAAUGACUCAUGAGAAAAUUUUCCUGCUUCAAUUAAGAAAUUUUGAUAUGUAUAAUAAUUGAAAAUGGAGUCCAAGAGUAGAUAAAUAGCUUUUAAUAAGCAAUUUUUAAUUCUAAUUACCAAUACUAUUAAAAUGUAAUCAAUUGGAGUGUUUUAUUUCUUUUAAUUAGUGCCAUAUUAAAAUGCAAUAAUUCUAAUUAAAAAACAUGAGGUAAUUUAGGGAUAACAAAAACUGAGAUAAAAAAGUGCUUACACUUGUACUCCCUAAAACCAACAUUCAUACUUUUUAUAUAGUUGUGAUAAUGAUAAUGAUAAUGAUAAUGAUGAUAUGAAACUUGGAUGCCAAAUAGACAAUGACGUGGAAACAGGUCUACUUAGCCUUUGUACCUGUGAUAAAAAUUUCAUAUACAACACCCUUAAAUUACUGCAAAAUGCAAAUACGAGAGCUAGCAUCUACAUCUUAAGCAAUCAGUUAAUUCAGCUGCUAUAUCAGACAAUGAAUCCUCUAAAAUUAUAUAGAUGCUUUCUGCAGCAACUUUUCCUAGCACUGUGGACGAGAAUUAGUGGACCAUCUCAAGUCUUCAAUGAAUAACUCUGAACAUACACAUUGCAAACAGGUUAAAGUAUCAACUUGACGGAAUUUGCCUGCAAAAAUAGCGGGUAUUCUAGUAGGAAGAACGCUUGAAGAACAUCCAUCAUGGUCUUGUAACCUACAGCAACUCCAAAAGCCCUGAAAAAAUUCUUUCUACAUUUUCAAAUUGCAAUGCCAGAUGGUGAUUAGCACUCAAAAGUCAUCGCCCACUAGUGGAGGGACAAAACUGUAACCUUGAAGCGUCUGCUCAAAAAUGUGGCCUAUUUUAAGUAAACUUUCCUGCAAUAAAAUGCAAAACUGUUUAUGUAACUUAUGCUUGCCUUGAAAAACCAGUAACUACAAAAAAGAUCACCCAGAGUACCAUGAACAGAUAAGACAGAGCAAAUCGCAUAGCAGAUAGUUACGGUACUCAAAUAUAGAUCCUUAUAUACAAAAAAAAUCCAACACCAACCUCAUCAAAUGCUGCUCCAAUCAUUUGCAAACCAACAGGAAGAACAGAUGAUCCUUCUUCAACAAAUCCACAGGGUAAAACCAAUGCAGGUAAACCAGCCAAGUUGACAUUGACCUGCAUCAUACGUAAUGUUAUAAAUGGAAGAAGAAAAUCUAAAAACAGUUACUAGUUCUCUGUCCAGUAUUUCAAUCUGGGAUUGCUAAUUCAUGUAUGAUGAGGACAAAUACAACAGGAGUACAGGAUCCAUGUCAUUGCAAGUUAUAUAACUAACGAAUGCCAAAAAUUUAGAAGUGCAACCUUCUAAAUACUUACAAAUCACUUCCAUAAUGAACAAAUAAAAUGGCGAAAACAGGCAAUGGGAAACAUCAAACUAUAACAAAUUUACUUAAUAAGAUACCUCCACUCAAACAUGGAAUCAUAUAAUAAGCUUUGUGCAAGAGCAAGCACUUUUAAGGUACAACCAUCAUAAUCUACUCACUCCCACUAAUAGCUUUGCUCAACUAGUGUGACCUUCAUCUUCUUGUAGUCAAUGAUGGAGCCAAGGGGGGGCAGAGGGGGGCCAUGGCCCCCCCUAAGUUUUGAAAAAUUUAAUUCAUAAUAUGUAAAUAUAUGUAUAAGUCAAAGUUGGCCCCCCCUAAUUUUUUACAAUUUUAGUUUAUAUAAUGAGAGUUUAUAUAUAUAUAUAUGUAUAUAUAUCUCUUGUGUGUGUGAAUUAGCCACCUUUUGAUUUAAUUUUUUCUUCAAAAAAAAGUUAUUUAUUUUUUAUUGUACUAAUUAUUUAACAUUCAAAAAAUUAUAUAAUUUGAUGAUCCAUAGUAAAUUGACCCAAUUUGAUGUAUUAUAAUAAAAGACUUAAUUCAUAAUUAUCAAUGGGCUACAAUAAAAAUAAUUACUUUAUUGGUCCAUAUACAAAUAUACACCUUAGCCUAAUUGAUAAAAAAAUUUAAAAUUAGUGAUCUAUCCUCUUGUUGACUCAUAUACAAAUAAUUACUUGAAGGCUUGGUGAAGACAAGAAAUUGAGUGAUAUAUCCUGUUAUUGGCAGAUUGAUGAUAUUUGUUCUCACUCUUUCUGUAUCAAUUGCAACUAUAGAAUGUACAUUUUCAAUUGUGAAUAUAAUCAAAACAAAACUCUAAAACAAGAUAAAAGAUAAUUUCUUGAAUGAUUGUCUAACAAUGUAUAUAAAAAAAAGGAUAAUCAAAAUUUAACACUGAUUCAAUUAUAGAUGAAUUUAGUUCUAUGAAAGAACGUAAAACUCAAUUUACUUUUAAAAAAAGAGGUUGAAAUUUCAAGGUAUGCUAACAUAACUUUUAUCUUUUAUUAAUUGAAAAUAGUUAUAUUAUAUUGUAUAGUUAUAUUUUUAUUUUUGCACAAAUGACAUAUUGAAGCAUCUUCUCAUAAUGUACAAUUUGGGUAGUUUGUUAUGUUAUAAGAUAUUUAAUCAAAGGUUAUUUUUUGUCCUAAUUUUUGUUAUGACUAUGUUGCAUAUUUAUGUAAUAGACAUACCUUUAUAAUUAAAAUUAAAAUUUGAUAGUUUAAGAUAUCAUAUAUUUAAAUAGAUGAAAAUUAUUUUGAACAUAACAUAUUAAGAUAAUUUUGUUAAGAAAAAUUUUGGCCCCCCUCCCAAGGAAAAAAUCCUGGAUCCGUUUUAUAGUCUAUAGAAUGGACAUUUUCAAUUAUGAAAAUAAUCAAAAUAAAGCUCCAAAACAAGAUAAAAGAUCAUUUCUUGAAUGAUUGCCUAACAAUGUACAUAAAAAAAGGAAGUUGUUCGAAAAUUUAGCAUUGAUUCAAUUAGAGAUGAAUUUAGUUCUAUGAAAGAACGUAAAACUCAAUUUAUUUUUAAUCAAAGAGGAUGAAAUUUCAAGGUAUAUUAACAUAACUUUUAUCUUUUUUUAAUUGAAAAUAAUUAUAUUUAUAUUACAUAGUCAUAUUUUUGUUUUUGCACAAGUAACAUAUUGGAACAUCUUCUCAUAAUGUGCAACUUAAGUGGUUUGUGAUGUUAUAAGAUAUUUAAUCAAAUGUUAUUUCUUAUCUUAAUUUUAGUUAUGACUAUGCUACAUAUUUAUGAAAUAGACAUACCUUUAUAAUUAAAAUUAAAAUUUGAUAUUUUAAGAUGUCAUAUAUUUAAAUAAAUAAAAAUUAGUUUGAACAUAACAUAUUAAGAUAAUUUUGUUCGAAAAAAUUUUGGCCCCCCCAAGGAAAAAAUCCUGGCUCCGUCACUGCUUGUAGUAGUAAUAUAUUUCCACACCAAGGUAAGUCAUAUGUUGCACAAUUUUGAUCCAUUGCCAGCUUUCAAAUUUCUCCAAGUUACAUACUUCUGGGAUUUUAUCUCAUGAUCAAUUUGCUUUCAUGUCCUUAAAAUGCAUAUUUCUCACCCCAAGCUACAAUAGAGCUGGACUCAUUUAAGGUAUUUAGAGAAGACAUGGAUGCAAAUGCACUAGCUUUAGGAACUGAAAAUAAUCACAAAAUAAUCCAGAUUAGGUAUGUCUAUAACCCCAAUCUCUUACAGAAUUUCUACAGUGAAUACUUACAGUCAUGAUGUCACCUGCAUACAUGGCCAACGGGUCAUUUUUCUUCUCACCUGUGCAUAGCAAAUUAAUGUAUAUAAUCAGCUGCCUUAAAAAGAAAAAGAAUAUAGUUUUACAUCAAAGAUAAAUAGAAUCAAUUGAAAGAACAGCAAAAAGUGAGUGAAAAUCCAUGUAUCAUACCAAUCUUAUAAGCAACAGAUGGUGCUGCAGGUGAGAUCAGAACGUCAUUUUCUUCCAAAGCUGCUCUGAAGCUCUUCUGAACUAAAGUCCUAACCUAAGAGAUGGUCAUAAUCAUUCUAGUAAAUGUGCUGCAUAAGAAAACCAACCCAACACAUUGCGACACUCAGCAUAUUAUAGCUCCUUGAAAAACAUCAAGCCUCCUGACAAUAUAUUUUGACCUACAGGCUUUACCAACAAAGGCCACAAUAUGAGUAAAUUACUUUUUUAAUCUUUUAAUGUUUGGUUUUAUUUAUUCAAUUUUUUUGGGCCACAAUGUAUUUUAUUGUUUUAUUUAUUCAAUGUUAUAGGGGUGUGUGUGCACAGACAUACACAAGCAUGAGUUCGAAAUUAUAUCACGCAUUAAGGAAAAGACUGGAGAAAGAUUGUGGAGGAGGUAGAGGUCAAUAGGAUUUUUAAAGACUCCAGCUUCAAGGCAAGAUCACAAUCUGAAUGCAACUCCGUAUCAAUAGACAUACAUUCAAUUAUAUUUGACAAAAAAAGGCACAUUCAUUACUUUACCUGCUGGGCACGCUUGUAAUAUGCAUCAUAAUAUCCAGCUGAAAGUGCAUAUGUCCCCAUUAGAAUUCUAAGUUUAACCUGAGAACAAGAAAUCAGAUGUUAGCCUUAGCCAGGCACCACAACUAAAGCAGAUGUCAGUACUAUUUCCUUAAAUGCUACAGGAUAACUCAUGCUAUGACAACAGAUACAAGUUUUGCUCAUUUUGGAGGGGUGGAUUGCAGAACUAUGGUACUAGGACUAUUCUCUUUGCCCUGCUGUACUGUACUCAUGUUGGACAAUCAUUUUGCACUAGAGUACCCGUGUCCUUGAGACUCCCAUACCCAACUCCAAGUAACAUGGCUGCAUAAUAUCUUUCAGUAGAAUAGAUGAUGCAUACCUCAGAACCAAAUCCUUCAGCACGAGAAUCCCCAUACAAGGUACUUAGCUCAUCAGCAAAGACCUGAUUUCCAAACCUGAAAAGGUAAGACAUUUAAAUUAGACAAGACAACUAAAUUGCCACUACUACUUGCUCAGUGGUCCUAACAUCUCUUCCCAAUCGUUAAGAACCCAAACCAAAUAGUGCAAGAGAAAUCUGAAAAAUAAACAAAACUCCAAGUUUUACCUAACUCCAUCAUAGCGGGCUAAGUUUGAGGAUGAUUCGGAUGAAGCAAGAAUGUAGUAUGCUGGCAAACCAAGGGAGAAAGAUGGGAAUGAGACCUGCGAGUUGUAAAUAUCAGAUGCUAUACUUUUGUUGAUUCACACACGAAACUGAAGACAGGUGAACAUUCUACUCAAUUUAAAACAUAAUAAUAAUAAUAAAAAGAAGAUCACCUCAGAUAUGGUACAUCCCAAAUCCUCCAAGUGAGAAACAGAACGUUGGAGUGACGAAAUUACAUCUGGAUCAACUCCAUCCACAAGGGUUUCACGGAUGACACCUACUCUAAGUCCUUUCAAAGGUUUAGAAUCCAAAUAAUCCUUGGGAAUAAACUGGGAUGCAAAGUUAGGAAUUCCCUGAAAAGAAACAUUCCCAUCAAUGUAGCAAUAUCAUUUUGAUACUAGUCAGAUAAAAUAUGUACACUUGACACUAAAAGCGACAUUUACAGAAAAGCAGGCAGCACCAACAUGCUGCUCUUAAGCAGUGUCUUCCACAAAUACAGUUAAUAGACAUUCACUACAAACUUAAGUUGAUUCAACUUCCUCUUAAUAUAUGUUUUUUCUGGCUUCAAAUAGAGUAUAAGACACAUGCCCUUACGUAGUACAGGUAGAGGAUUUGAUAGUUGGUAUGGUACAUAUUUGAAGUUAGGUAUGUAAUACCUACGAUGAUAUUAAGUUCCACAAAGAAAUUUAUUCACAACAAGGAAAAGAAACUCACUUGUUUACUACUAGUGGCAUCAAAUUUAUCAUGACCUGAAACUGCCUGAAGGACUAUCCCUGUAUCAGCAACUGAUGAACCCAAGCAUCCAAUGACAUCUAGAGAUGAUGCAUAAGCAACAAGGCCAUAUCUUGAGACACGACCAUAUGUUGGUUUGAGUCCAACAACACCACAAAAUGAUGCUGGUUGCCUAACACUUCCACCAGUAUCAGUUCCCAAUGACACAGCACACUGUUGAGCAGAAACAGCUGCUGCAGAGCCCCCAGAUGAUCCUCCUGGUACCCGAGAUAAAUCCCAAGGAUUAGCUGUCACCUAUUGAAGAUGAAGAUGCAUCACCUGAGCAAACCAUUUCAAAUUACAAGUCGCAGGUUUUAGAACCAACUCAUGUUCACAGCUGAGAAACUCAAGUUUACAUGAGAAAUAGGGUGGGUUACUAAUGAGAUUGUCAAAGAGAACGUGCAGCAAUUCCAGUCAUCCUACUGCUAUUUAAACUACCCAGGGAGAAACAGCAAUUAUUUGUGAUACCAAAUUUGCAUUGACAAUACCAAGUGGAAAAGAGGCUUUUCUUUUCUACCGCAACACAUACUUUAAUUCAUUUAAAUGCGAAAAAGUAAAAACAAGCAUUUUUAACUCCUCUCAGAUUCAAAUUACUAGUUUCAAACUUCAAACUUAGCACCAGCAUCCAAGUCCAAGUUAAACCAAGUAUAUGUGGAGUAACAGAGUGAGUAUCCAGACUACGCAUAAUACACUACAUUUCAAAACCCAAAUCCAACCAUCCAUUUUCAGACCAUUCAAAUAUUCAAGAAAGCUCUUCAUUUCGCACAGAUAACACGUCCUAAAAUACUUUAAUGAGUUCCCCCCAUUUUAUGGCGUUAAUGAGUCACACUGUCUUAAGCAUUAUUUACCUUAAUUUCACAACUUGACUAACCUUGACCUAGUCUCCAAUGCAGCGCUCACUCAAAACCACUGAACAUACAAGCUUAAAUCACACUCAAGUCCAUAGAAGCCAUUUGUUUUCCAUACCAUAUCUGAUCAGACGUACAAGUGAGCUAUCAGAUAUCUACAAAAUUUAAAUUAAAAAAAUUCCGGCUACAAACACCCAAUGUAAUUACCUAAAAACUCAAACUUGUCUGUUUGUAGAGAGCAAAAAUCCCAACUUUGAUCUCAUUUCUAAAUAAAACUGCAUUUACACAAAAUCUUAGAAAAAUGAGUAACUAAAGAAAAAUGAUAAAGGUAAAACUUCUCGCCUGAUAACCAGAGGCUUCAGUAGUACUGCCCAUACCAAACUCAUCCAAAUUAGUCUUGCCAACAAUGAUAGCGCCAUUUUCCCUCAACUUUUUAACCGCCGUAGCAUCAUAUGGCGGAGUAUAAUUCUCCAAAAUCUUGGACCCGGCAGUGGAAGGCAUAUCUGAAGUGCAAAUAUUAUCUUUUACCCCAGCAAGAACUCCAGCAAGAGGGCCCAAUUCCUCAUUGUUCUGAAUUCUCCUGUCAAUUUCUUCGGCCUGUUUCAAAACGCCAUCUUCCGGGGAUACGUACAGGAAGCUCUUGAGUUGGGGUUCGGUGCGGCGGAGGCGGCUGAGGAAAGUCUUGGCUAUUUCCACCGCUGUGGUCUCCCGGGAGAGAAGGGAUUUACGGAUUCUGAGAAUUUGGGAAGUGGGUUGGGGGGAGGAGGGUGUGGGGACAGGGGUGGUGGAGGUUUGGAGGCACCUGAGGGGGAUUUGAUGGAGGGUUGAGAGGCGGAGAAGCCUCGGAUUUUGGAUUGAAGACAGCAUUAUUGUUAGCUCGUUUCUGAGGAGGGAAAGAGGAGGAAAGGCAGAGGAUUUAUGGGUUUAUGGCAGCUGUGGGUUUUUGCUGAAUUAUCCUCUUAAGAGGGAUGGCUAAAGCCCAGUCUCUUAAAGACGUGAUCGUGUGAGUGAAUUAAAGACCUCUGCCAAGUUAAAGGCGCAAAGUGAAUGCGAAGCGUCUAACGUGCCUUGCUAAAUUAAGAACGUAUUUCAUUUCUUCAAAUUGCUGUUCAUUUUGUUAUCCUCAAAAGAAGGGAAAAAAAACGUAAUAACCUUUGUCAUUUAAGAUAUACAAAUAGAAAUGUGGUUCCUUAACCCUUCUGUUUUUCUUCAUAGUUCUACACUGGUACAUUGAUAUUUCAAUGAUGACUCCAUUUUCUCGUAGCAAUGAUGUUUUCUGCCUUUAUUUUUGUAUUAAUAUAUGUAUUCAAGCAUUUUGUACAGUUUGUUAUUUGCUUUCUUUACUCUUUAUCUUGUUUCAUCCAGUAAAGGUUCAGGAUUGCAGGCUCAUAGCACAAAUCCGGUACAUUAUCCUGUUCAAAUAGUCAAAUACCAACUCUUUCUUUGUUCAUGGCAACACUUCUGGUGCAGUUCUCAACAUGAGAAUGCUCUAAUCACCUGAAAAAGGCCCAUUCCAAUUUUUUUUUUUUUGGUGCAUGUUAUUUUGCAUUUGAUGAUAUGCAGAAACAGAUUCUAUACUAGUACUCUCCUGAAUGUUGUCUUUCUUUUGCAAUUAGCUGGGCACGUCUCCCCUCAAGUUGCUCCAAUUCUGCUUCCUGUGCUUCAAUUUUGUUCCUGACUGCUGCAAUUUGCUCGUCUAGGCGUUGUAUAGCAGUAUUUACAUCCUCAUCACCGACUUCUUCAGUUCCAACUGCUGAAGAACCACCUCCUGAUGUAGCCUCAUCGCUGACUUCUUCAGUUCCAACAGCUGAAGAAUCACGUCCUAAGGUCACCUCAUCUUCUGAACCAUCUGUAUCUUCUUCAGUUGUCUCCAACUUGAUGUUCUUGUCUAUGGUAGUAGUCAAGUCUAGGGGCUCUUUCUUCAAAUAAGGCAGGAUCUGGUGCAUGGUAAAGCAUUGAAUUAGUACACAAGGCAUCUAAAAUCACCCAAAAAAUAUGUUGGGGGGGGGGGGUAAUGAUACUCUUUGAUUAAAUGGACUAAACAUAUGCAAACCUCUGAAAUCACGCAAUGAAUGUGAGCAACAAAAUGGCAUCCUGAACAGUAGUAAGUAGGAUGAUCUAGUACUCGUGCUUUUUCGCAAGCAUUGCAAUAAAAUUCAGCAAAAUCCUCUUCAUCUGGCAUGUCCUUAUUCGAGUAGUUGUAUAUAUAAGGGGAUCUAUGUGGCAAUCAUGUUUUAAGGAUUGUAGAGGUGAAGGAUGGCAGUAAUCAUGGAUGCUGAAGUCGCAUUCUAAACAGCGAAAGAAAUAUUUACUGCAAGAUGAAUCACAAAUGCUGCACUCGAGGUUAAAGAGUUCUAGUUCAAGGUCUACAUAUGCAAGAGGAUGCUGGUGAACUUCAGUUCUUAUGGGCGGAUGUUUCAACCAAGAACACUUGGUGUCUAAUCCAAAAUCACACUCUCUACAUUUAUAGAAAAAGAAUCCGGUUGUAAUACCACAAACUCGACAGGACGAACAUUCCGGGGAUGACUUGGAAUGAUUUUCGACAAGGAUGAGUGGGUGCUGAGGAUGAAAAGGAUGAGCCAUUUCAGGUGGCAAAUCAGCACAAGAUCGGUGGAAUGGUAAUCCGCAUUGAAGGCAAAAAUAAACAGAAUCCUGGAAAUGAAGCCCACAGCCAUGGCAGCGGGCUUGAUAGUUCGAUAUGCCACUAGCAUCACACUGAAUCAAGGGAUGUGAAGGGAUGUGGAUGGCUUACAAACUGAAUUUUAAUAAUUUCUUCAUCUGAAUCAAUUUUGUUGGUUGCUGGCUUCAAUUUAGAACAGUCAAGGUCCAAAACGAAGUCACACAAAGAACACUGAAAAACAAAUAAGAAACCUGUAGAAGCACAGACGCUGCAUUUGGCUGGAGAUACAGAGUUCACGGGCUGAAGUUUGAGAGGGUGAUCAGGAUGAAAAGGGUGCUUGAUUUCACGUCCCUGAGCAGCGCAAGAUUCAUCUAACAGACACUUACACUCCAGGCACGCAAAUAUAAGUUUAUCAUCGACAAUAAGCUCAUAGCAGCGGCUGCAAAAGUAGUAAAAAUCAUAAAAUUCAUUUGGCUUGUCACGUAAAAUUAAGGCAUGCUGAUGAUUUCCUUGAAGCUCUGCUACACGAUCUGCAUACUUCUUACUAGGCGUCAAGGCAGCACAUCCAAGGUCCAGAUCAAACUGACAAUUGGUCUCUUCGCAGUGGUAGAUAGCAUGCUUAAUCUUUUCGCUGCAAACACUGCAGUAGGUUUCAUUGUCAUAAGGCGAUUCGUCGAGAUAAGCAAGAGUAUGAUGAGGAUGAAAGGGGUGUAUAAUUUGUUGUUGAAAUUUUGCGCAAGCUCUGUGCAAAAAGAAACUACAUCUCUCACAGCCGUAGACAGUAGCAUCUAAAUCAAGUUGGCGCUGGCACAUAUGACAUUUUCUUCCUGGCUGGUUGAACUUUCUGAGGCUUAGUGGAUGUGGAUGCCGGAAAUGAUGAACAGGAUUUUCCAUCUCUCUUACAAUCAAUACUUCAAUGUUUCAAUGAUUUCACACUCAUACUAGUCCACAGUCUCAUAGACUAAAGGAAGGCAAAUUACCAAAAGCAUCCUAACUGGCCAGUGGCCCUUGUGUCCAACAACUUUUUGACUUGACAAGAAUCAUCUUUAUGCUUUCCUUGGUUGGGAUUGAUUCUGGACUUAGAGGAUUUUUUUUUCCUUUUUUGUUUUCCAUUCAUGAUACACUCCCGCAUGCAUUAGUUACAUAAUUUUCUCUUCACUCGCAGUUACAGCAAUAUUAAAAUGCGGCUCAAUCCCUUUGAAGAGAACUAAAGACCAAUUAAAACCAGGCUACAUCACAUAGUUUGGUGUGGAGGUACUUGAGCUAUUUGUGUAGGUAUGACUUAUGAGAGGGAAAAGAACGGUUCUUUAGGCAAGAAUUUCUUCCUAACAGCUUCAAGGAACAAAAUACGUCAAAAGGACUUCUUGGAUUAAACUUCAGGCAACUGAUCUAUUACUCUAUCAUUCCAUUCUUUGAUUCUUACGCUUCACAGUUGACACAAUAUAUCUGCUAGAAUAGAGGAAACACUCUAAAUCUGAAAUCCAACAUAGAACGGUGUAGUAAAAGUCCAUACCACUACAUAAUAGUGCAAACUACACGAAGCAAGCCUUCAAGUACCCUACAAAGGCAGGGAAGUGAAAGCUGCCUAAAACAGGCGCAGCUCCGCAUAAGCUACAUAAAACUACGCCUUCUGAAGUUUUAAAGAAGGCGUUAAAAGCAAGCUAUGAAGGAAAAACGUUUUCAAGAGUUUCAAGUAAAUGUUUUUGGGGUUUUGUGUUCACAAAUUCUUCCAUAAUCUCAACAAACUCAGGAAACACAUCACAUGUAAUGGCUAUUCUAACUUCAAUCUCAACUGAUUGCGCAUGGCAGUGCAGGUUUGCUAGACAGACUUGUACAAUUGAUCUUGUAUUUACAGUUGAUCUCGUUUUUCCAACAGGAACUUUCUUCUGGAGGUAGUUCGCUUUGAAAUAUGCUCAAAACGACUUUUUCUAAGUUCUCCCAUUUUUGCCAUUAGUGCUUGCACAUCCUUUUCGAGUCUCAUAAUUUCCUCGUCUAGUUGAUGCAGAACUGCAUCCUCAUCAGCUGAAUCACCUGUAGACCCCAAUUGUUCUCCAAUGAUAGUAAUGGCCAAGUGAUUAGGCUCCUUGUGCAGGUACGAUAUGAUCUGGUAACACAAAAUUGAUCCCAAACGCACAUAUUAAGUUUGAAGCAAUCCAAAAACACAGAAGGCUGUCAAAAUUCAAGUUAAUACCAAGAGUUGACUGUUGUCAUACUCGUACCACUGUUAUCACGCAAUGAACAUGAGCAACAAAGUGGCAUGAUGAACACAAAUAUGUGAUACGGUCGAAUGCUCGUCCUUCUUCACAGGCAUAGCAAUACAAUUCUGCUUCUUCCUCCGGAUCAUCUGGAACCCCCUUGAUUGGAUAAUUGGCAAAUGUGAGGGGAUGUAUGUGGCAAUCAUCUUUGAUGGUCGGUGGCAGCGAUGGAUAGCAGUGAUCGUGGAUGCUGAAGUUGCAAUCCAAGCGUAAACACCUGAAGUAAAAUUGUCUGCAAAUACAAAUACACAAAACACACUCAAAAUUAUGCGUUUGAAUGUCAAUGUAAGCAAGAGCGUGUUUGUGGUAUUUGGACAUUAUAAGUGGGAAUGCAGAUCUUGUACACUUAACAUCCAACCCAAAGUCACAUUCUUCGCAGUCGUAGAAAAAGUGGCCGGUAGAUUGUAAGCACACUCGACAAGAAAAUCUCUUGUGGAACCAGAAAGAGUUUUUGACAAGUUUGAGCAAGUGGUUCGGGUGCAAAUGGCUAGUGAUUUCGUUAGGCAAAUCAGCACAGGAUUUAUGGAGUAGGAUUCGGCAUGAAAGGCAAGCGUAAACAAGAUCCUCAAAGCGGAGGCCGCAGGCAAAGCAGCAGGAGCUGAAAUUCUUCAUGCUGAUCAUUACUUCCACUUGAAUCAAGGGAUGGGGGUGGGUUACAGGUUGGAUUUGAAUAUGCCCUUGGUCGGCUUUGCAGAUUGUGGUAGUCUCGCCCAAGUUGGCACAAUCAACAUCGAGGCAAAAAUCACAUGAAGAACAAGUGAAGAAAUAACCAUUCCUUCCACCGCCACCACAGAGGCUGCAGCAACGAGGUGGACGCAAAUAAUAGAGAACGAGAGAGAGAGUAUGUUGAGAGUGAAAGGGAUGCCUGAUUUCCUGCCCAUGAGCAGCACACGGCUCAUCUAACAUGCAUUUGCAUUCAAGACAAACGUAAAUCUUGUCAUCAUCUCCAAAUUCAGUGUCACAGCGAGUGCAAGAGUAAUGCAAAACAUUUGGCCUGUCGCAAACAAGUAGAGAAUGCCCGUGAGAAUUCUGCAGCGCCUCUACUCGAUGAUGAUCAUGAGAAGGUUUUAACAGAGCACACUUCAAAUGCAAACUAAAGGAGCAGUCAGCCUCUUCACAUCGGUACCAGCUUUUGAACGGAUAAGAUCCACGAGAGCUGCAAGCGUCGCACCCUCUCCCAAUAGCAAUAGGAUCAAUGUGAUGAUGAAGGCGAUGGGGAUGAAAGGGGUGUGAAAUAUCCAGCUGCAAUUCAGCAGAAUGUUCGUGUAAGAAGAAUGAACAACCUUGACAAGCAUAAACUCUGGCAAUUGGAUCAAGGAUUUCCGAGCACAUGCCACAUCGAUCAUUAUGUCUUGCUCGACAUUGGAUUGUUGAGAUGCUAAGUGGAUGUCGAUACGUGAAAUGAACAAUAGUGUCCAUAUUUUUCUCUUCUCUUGCACUCAUUGCAAUAUAUAUAUAUAUAUAUAUAUAUAUAUAUAUAUAUAUCAAAAAGCUGCUCCCUCACUGCCUUGCACUAGAACUAAGGACCAAUAAUAAACAGAGGCUGCUGCUGCAUCUAUAGCAGGGUGGGAUCUGAAUGGAGGUGCCCAGAUAAAGAAAGGCAUUCAAGUUUUCAUCAUUUGCAUCCUGGUGUGUGUAUCAUUUAAUUCUUGUUCUUUUGUAGUAUAAAGUGCACCAAAUCAAGGGUGAAGGAAAGAAGAGAGUGGUUCCCAAGGUGAGAAUAAUUCCUUGGUAACAGCCCCAAGGAACAAUAGUAUAAUACUAUGUGAAAACUAAAAAGGAGACCUGGAGACUAUAUAUACGUAUGUAGAUUAGCUUCAAGGAACUCUUCCAUGAUUCCAUUUUUACACUGUCUAAAGCGAGCAAACAGAGGAUGGAUAAUAUUACAAUCAAAAGAUCAUAAGUUUGGUAUUUUACGUGCCUCAUUUCUGAAAUUUAUGGUUCAAAACGCCACCGGAAGGAGGCUGAGCGUUCCACCACCGCACCGCGAGCAAGAAUCGGUGGAAACACGCUCGGACUCGGUGGAAUCGACCUGCGUCAACUCGGAGGAGACGGAAGAGGAGAUGAGAGGUAAACAAAUAGGAGACCUUUAUGUGAUCGAUUUGGGUCACGAACGUCUAGAAGUUACUAACACCCACACAUGUCAACCAUUUUUUAUCCCAAUUUAUUUGGUUUUAGCGAAGAAUUAUAAAAUUCUUGCUACAGUUUUCAUAUAUAAUUUUUUCCAUUUAUGCAGAGAGAUUUUAUAUAAUAAUCAGUUUUUUUAUAGAGUUAAUUUUUUUUAAUAGUAAUUCUAGUGCAUGAGCUAGAGAGAUGAGAUGGGUGAUUGUGUUUUUAUAAAAUAGUUAUCCCAAAAGACAUUUAUAUCGUAUUAAUUAUUAAAAAAUUUGAAGUUAAAUCAUUAAUAUUCUUUACGUGCCAUUGCACUUGUAAAAGGUUUGUAUGUUUACUUUGAUCAUUUUCUUUUUUUUACAUGUUUUUGUAUAUUUUUUUAAUAAAUUUUUAUGAAUUUUAGAAUAUUAAAUGUAUGAAAAAAUCAUCUCACCAAGAUCACAACAAUAUGACCGCAAUCGAUAUGAUAUGAAAAGAAUUAUAAAAUAAUGACAAAUACGACACCGUGACAGCGACCUGGAACCAUGGAUAUGGUGGACGAGUUACAAAAGUAAACACGGUCGAUUUCUAAGGGCAAAAGGGAGGCAUGUCUCAGACAAAAUAUCAUGGCAGAAUUUGGCGAUCACCUGGGGCAUCAAUGAUGAGGUAGUCCCGGAAUUUGGUCUCCUUCCCCGCUCUGGCCUCUAGAACUUGUCCACAAUGAGUCUACAAACAGGGAAUAACAUGAGUUUGGGAAAUUGAUGUUGGAUGGCAAUGUGCUUUUCAAAUGCAAGAACAAAAUCAUAAUGGCGGCUUCUGAAAAUUCCUUGGAUUCCAGAAAAGACAAUUGACGUUACCUGAACCAUCAACAUUAAGAGCUAUCCAACCAGAUUCAAACCUUACACUUGGUGGCACGAAGAUGGUUGCUAGAGUGGAGGUGACAUUCUAGUCGUGAAUUCUAUGAACGUAGAACCGUGUGGUAAAGUCCGUAACACUUAACUCGAGUUUGGAUGACUGGUAAGCGGGGGUUGCCAAUUAUCUAGAGAAUAGUUGGCCACCACGUAUCAUUGUAGAUUGGGAUAGGAGGUUAACAAUUCAAAUCUUACUUCUUGUCAAAAUUGCUACUUAAUGUCAAUUCUUUUAGAUUCAUAUGGGUGCUUCUUAUAUCGUAUGAUUCGAUAGUGGUUCACUUCCCAUCGAUUUCCCAUGAUCCUAUUGAGUCACUCUGUUAGUAUAGGUUAGAUUAUGAUUAGGUGUAGGUAUAGAUGUAGAUGGUGACAAUAGAUAAUAAAAAAUAAAAAAAAAGCUAAGUUGGAGUUGCUAAUGUUAACGAGAAGUUCAAGUUCGACCUCUACAUGUGACGCUUUGAAAAGUUUUAGCCAGACCUUCUUUCCUGAGUAAAAAUCGGACUCUAUGAGCACGUUUCAAAUCGAAUUCGAAAUGGUCUCACUGAGAGUGAAAAUACCGGAUGUUCAAAGAAAAAAAAAGUCCAUAAUACCUGUUCGAUUUUAAACGGCCCAAUUGAAACAGAUAUUGAGUACAGCGUAUGUCCGUUCUUAUGGUUAUUGCUGCUGCGCCUUUUAUAUUUGAAGCUCGGUGGAUGCAAGGGGGAGAUUCUAGAAAUUCUUCUUUGUUCUCUUGAAAAAUUAUACAUUUUCAUUUAUAUCCUUAUAGAAAUUAGACUUUACCCCCUCAAACUUCAGAAAUAUGUUUCUAAAACCCUUGAGAUGUUAAAAGCUUCACUUAUAUCCUUGUCAAUGCAAGACUUUGAACCCAUCCCCCCCUCCCCCCUCAACAAAUUAUUUCAUAAAAUUGUGUGGGUACCUCUUUGAUUGUACAUAUUUAGUGGUCUUGGCCCCCUCAAACUUCAACAUCUGGUUCCACUAGUGAAAAAGCUACCUAAAAUGCGAAACUUGCCCAAGCUAAAAAAUGAAAAAAAAAAAAAAAAAAAAAGCACUAAAGAAACAAGUUAUGGAGGGAAAAUUCAUCGUCUUCUUUUCUCUAAUUCACAAAUUCAUUGGAACCCAAGUUAACGAAUUAAUCUAGUAACAAAAUAUAGAGUGCAAUCUGUCGCCAAUAAUGGCACACCUGCAAGGUUUGCUAGUGCAAAGGAACUAUCAAUAAUAAUGUAACAGAAUAGUCCUUUGAAAAAAAAGAUAAAGUAUGAAUUAGUUUUUUUUUAUAUGAAUUAAUAAAUAUUAUUAUUGUAUUUGAUCACAGUUACUAGAAAAUUUUCAAGUCCACUUUGGGACAACCGCAUAUACAAAUUUGCAAGAUAAAAUAAAGAUAAUAACAGUAACUAUGUGGUUUGGAGAAGGUACAGUUAGCUAUAUGUGUGGUUGGUCCGAUUAUUAUAUAUUUUUUCCUAUUAUUUGUUACACACUCACAUAAUUUUUUGUUGUAUUUCAUGACAUAUUUACGUAAUUGCUCCGUUUGAAUUAACUGUUUUUUGGGGUAUUUUUGAAAAAUUUUAUUGUAGUAGAGUUUUAGAUUAUAUUUUAGGAUAUUUUCAGAAAAUAUUUUGAGAUAUUUAAGAGUAGAAGAGUUUUUAAAAUAUAUUUUGAGAUAUUUUUUAAAAUUUUUAAAAUUUAAAUUAAUUUUUAGAUUACCUUUUAGAGUACUUUUUAAAAUUUUUUAUUAUAUUUAAAAAAUUAAUUUUUGAAAAACACUGCCAUCCAAAGAGUUAUUUUUCAUGAUAUACAACAAAAGUGACGUGAUUGUAUAAUAAAUCAUGAAAAGAGUAUGACAAUUACACCUAAGGCCAACGUACCUGUCUCGCAACUUCCAAACUAUUGUAUGUACCAUUGGGCACCUGAAGAGUAGCCCGGUAUUAACAAGACGGUAUUGGCCCGAUUCUAGUGAAGUGAGAACUUGCAUAGCCCAAGAAUGAAAUCCAAUUCCUAAAAGGAAAGCAAAAAAAAUCCUGAUGUCACUAUCUAUUCCAAUAAUGGCAAGAAAGAUACAACUGGUUGACGAUAACAAGUAGUAGAUUUUUUUUUUUCCCAAAAAGCCUCCUGUAUAUUUAAUUUUUACUUUUUCCAUUCAUUAAUUUGCAGUUUCGAUCGCUAUUAUUUUUUCUAUGUACACAAAUAUAAAUUAUAGGCUGUUGGAAAAUCAAGCUCCGCUUGCUGACGUCGUCGCCUCGAUCAUUUUUAGGCUCCGAUCACCUUCCGGUGAGCUCUUUUAUCCAAAUCUACCUCUUUUACCUUAAUUUCCAUUUUUCUAAUUUUUAUGAUUAUUUGUUUAUUAAUUUUUUUUCUCUUAUUCUAAUUUGGGGUUUUCUCCUGUUUUUUCUUCUUUUUUUUUUUUUUGGUUAAUUGUGUUAUGUUACUUGGCGAUGAUGAUGAUUCAGUAAAGAUCGGAUUUUUUUAUUCUGAAUUGGAUAAAUUGGGCCUUUUUUUAAAAAAAAAAGUUUCCUAGUGCUGAUUGUACAGCCAAUCUAUGGUGUUAUUGAAUUAGAUACAUCCAAAUUUUAAUAGAUAAAUUCAAAAGAAUUAUUUCCUUUUCGUGACAAUUUUAGGUCCCAUUUUACCACGAGGGAGGAAAAAUUAAUGAAAAUAAAAUGGAGAUGUUAAAUUUAGAUAAAAACCAGAUAAGAGUGAUGUCUGAUGAUUCUCUUAGUGGAGGAUGUGUAUGGGAGAGAGGUAUUUUGGAGGGACAAGUAUAAGCCUGCUUAUUAGUGUGAGAUCAACGGAGUAUGUCUUGUUAAUGAUGUGAUGUUGAUCACUAGUUUGUUGUAAUGAAUAAGUUCCAUUUUGGGUUUUUGAUCGCGUGAAUUACUUUCAACCGAUUAGAGGGAUUGACAGUUUAUUAAAAAUCAUGAGUCGAGGGGUAAAUUCCUCCUUAAUAGCAUAUUGCUACUCUGGUUUGUAUUCUAGCUAAGUGGAUUAGCUGGCAGCCUUGUUUGGAUUGCCAUUUUUCCUCAAAAUAAGUUUUAUGUUUUCUGUGAACACAUUUUCCAAUCACCUUUUUACCUCACAUACAUGAAAUAGCUACAGUAUAUUUUUCUGCAAAAAUUCCAGACAAUGGUAAUCCAAACGGGUUAAAACCAUGGACGAAGGGUAGAAAGGUAUCAUUUUAUGAAAGUGGAAGAGUUCAAUUAUCUUUUUUUACUUUUGUUCCGGGGAAUAAAGGAAGGGGAACACGUAACUUAAAUUUGUAGUACUGGAGAAGGGCUUGAACCACCGCUUCCCCUUUACACCCUCCUCUAGUUCACCCCCUUCUACACUAACGUGCUCAGAUGUGGAUGGAUUUCCUUGCUUCUUGCUAUAGUUUGCUGCAAUAGCACUCUUAUUUAGCUGUAAGCAUCUUUUUUUUCAUGGUAUAUGCACACUUGAUAUCUUCUUAUACAACAAAUGGCUAAAGACGGGAUUUUACAUUUAUUUCUUUGAGGUUAUAGAGUACUAGAAGGCUUCAAUGUUGAUUAUUUUUUCUCGAUUAAUUCAUCAGGGGUGAGAAUAAAGAUCGGAGCUUAUAAAUAUACUUGGAAGACAAACAAUAAGAAUGCAGGGAAUACCUUCCUUGGUUGAUCUAUGUGUUCAGAUUGCAGUUCUCAAUGUUCGAUAUCUUGGAAAUGUUGGAGAAACAGAGUUCCAUCUACUGGAGCGUAUUUUACCGCAUUGCACCAUGGAUCAGUUGAUACACGUUGAGAAUUGUACAGAGGUAACUAUUUUAGAAAAUUUGCCCAAUUUAUUUCUUUCUUUGCAUAUGUACUUAUUAUGGACUGGCUGAUCUUUUUCCCUUUUGUUUCUGUUUGGUCGUUGCAGGGAAGAGAUCUUAGCCCAGUAACUAAUAAACUUUGGAAGAAAUUCUUUGAGCGGCAAUUUGGUGCUGAGAGUGCUGAGCUUGUGGUGGAAAGGAUGAAAAAAAGGAGGGUUGAAUUUAAAUGGAGAGAAUUGUAUAAGGUAAUAGAGUUUUCUUAAUUUCCUCUUGGUCUCUGCCUAGAAACUGAUAAAUAGCUUUGUCCAAAAAAAAGGUACCUGGCAAGGAUGUGGCUUUAUGUUGGUUACUACUCUUUUUUGUUUUUGGCAAUAAUGCUUAAGUUUCAGUAUGUACUCACCUAAGGUACAUUAAGAAUCUCACAAGAUAUAUAGUAUUUGUGGACUUCCCCUUUGUAGUUUAUCUACAUCACUACAUCUUUCCUUCUUAGUAUCUGAUUUCUUCUAAGUUGAGUAGUUCUUAUUUUCAUCAUUGAAGUCUCAAAGUCCAUGGCGUUUGAAUUUAAGCAAGCUUAUUUUGUGAUUGUUUUACUUGCAGGCGAAGUCACAGGAAUUAGAAGAGAAGGAAAAGAAAAUAUCAGAACGAUUGAAGCAGCGGUAUGCAAAUGAAGCAGCUGGUAUGUACUUUUUACUCUCUUUUCUUAUUCUUUUGGAUGGUGCAUGUGUUACAUCUUGUUUUCUUUAUUUAGACUCCUGGUUCAUGUGCUAAAUUUUGGUCAUCCUUUUGCAAAGUACCAUGAAUGGUGCAGAUAGAAACCAUUUAUCAUUAGGAAGCUUUGUUGAGUCAAGAAAAUGGAAUGCAGUUUUGCAGCAGUUUAGGUUGGAUUACACUAUCAGACCCUAGUUGUGGAUAGAAUUAGUGGCAAGCAGUUGCAUCAAGUGAUGACAUGGAUGGCAUCUAGCAAGUCAGCAGUGAGUGGGUGCAAAUCUAAAUUUGGAAUAAACAUGGUCUGAACCUUAAAAUUGGGUGUCUUUUAAUCAACUUAAACAGUUAAAAGUGCUUAAUCAUGAGGUGAAUUCAGUAGCUUAGCAUUGGAUAAAAGCUUCCUACACCCAGUCAUUGGUUUGGCUUCUUGUCUUCUUUCUUUUCCUCCUUUUGUUGUAUUGGGUCCUGUGUCUUGUUCAACUCAUCAGUCUCUUGGUGUGGCAACAUCGGAUGCAUUUACUUUUGCCUUCUGAAUGGAUUGUCAGACUACAUUUGGUAAUUUAAGUUGAUAAUGAAUGCUUAUCAUUUUGCAGAGAAACAAAAGAGGCGAGUUCAGAUAUGCACGAAAGUCCCACCUUCAAGCUGUAAAAGAAGUUUCUUUGGAGGUAUACUUUGCAUUUACUGGAGAUUUUAUUUGGGUACACUGCACUUGACAUAGCAAAGAGCUGAAAUUCUCAGUGACUGCAUUGCAUAGCACUGCUUAUAAUGUUGACAUAUUCUUCUAUUUGCAGCAGCAGGACCUUACAACGGUAUGUCCAACGGCAAAAGCAGCAUAAUGAAGAAGGCAAAAUUGGAAUUUUUAAACAGGUAAACUUGUCUUGAAGUGGUGCAAACCUGAGAGUUUUGAUGGCAUUCAUAGGAUGGAUGUUUUUUUAGGCCUUGUUUUUAUGCUUAAUGUAAAAGCACUUAAAUAUGUUGGAUCCUACAAAUCAAACAUGAUUUUGUAUCUGAGCCUUCUAAGGCAGUCAAUUACUAUUUGUGUUGAUAAAAUAUAUAAGGCUGUCGGAUCUCAGUCCUCAUGUAGGUACUGUGUGAGCUUGUGAAAUUUGAUUUUUCAGACAACUGAACAGGGUUAAAUCUAGUUGUUAAAUUGUCACACAGUUUUUGACCUUGUAAAGAACAAAUAGCAGUUAAAACUCUGAAUGCUGAAAUAGAAACAACAACCAGUUAAAACUCUGAAUGCUGAAAUCUGCUUGACUUUGACCCCAAACUUAUUAUGUCUCGACUUAUCUUUGGUUUACUCAGAUUUUACUUGGUUAGUUACAAUUUAAUGCUUUAUUACGUAAAUAUCCUGAACUUUUCUUCAAAUAUUUAACUUUCUCUAUAUCAACAGUCGUGAGGUCAAAAAUUUAGCAGCUGUGAAGAACAAGGCAGUGCAGACGAGUUACAGGUAAUCGCUUAAUUUUCCACGUGGGCUGUCAAUAUUUACUGCUGUGAAUCCUUGGCCACAUUCCUUAUUCUGUUGCUCGUAAUUCAGUGUUUCUUCUUCUAGGAAGCCCAGUGGUUUUUCAAGUGUUGCUUCUUCUUCAACAUUCAAACCAAAGCCCGUGCAGAGGAGAUUUUAGUAGGCUUUGUAAACUUAUCUUUCUAGAUUAGCGUUAUUAUUGCAAUGCCAAAGGUUACCUUUAGUUCAAUUGAAUUGUAAUGUGCGCUUAAAGAAUUGGGUCAACUUUCUUGAUCCAUUUAUCUUGGUGUUUUAUUUCUUCCAAUGUAUAGACAUCCUUUUGCUUUCAUUACAGAAAAGUUGUUUGGGCGAUGAUGAUAGAUCAUAAUUUUGUUUCUGAUUUUUACUGUGAUCUGCCCCUCGUAAAAUAUUGGCAGAUAUGAUGGCUGGAUGCUAUAAUAUACAAGUGAAAUGGUCUAUGAUACGAUUUUGCACCUACACAUGGCAUCCUGGAUUUUGGCUCACCCAAACCAACAUCUGUACAUCAAUUAAAGCAAAUAAAUAGACAUGACGGCCCAAACUCUUUCAAGAAACUAUUCUUUUGUCAGUUGUUAAAGGAGAAUGAGUUGGAUGUAACACAAUGAUUAACAUGAAGAUGACUAUACCUGUUCUAUUGUAAGUUUAUGUACCUUACAUUUUUCUUCCUUCUGACUUCUCCAUGAAACAAGCUCGUUUUUGUGUGCAUUUAUCCUGAAGGAAAAGCUUCAUAAAGAAAACAAAACCCAAAAAAAAAAGAGCAUAGUAGCAAAUUAGCCCAGGCUGAAGAGGUUAAAGAACAACGGCUGAGUCUUCGUAUUUGACAUUCAUUCAAACAAUUUUCGACAUCUAUGUACAGUGUCUAUAUCUUCUUUACAUGUGCAAUGGGCCACUCGAAUUAAGGUUCAAAUUGUUAGUCAAGUGGCUGCGGCAGGAAACUUUUAACUGAUUCCCUAGCCCGUGUUUUAAUUCACAGGCGCAAGAUGUCAAGCAGCUCGAGAGAGAAAAAGGAUAACUCCCAAUCAGAAAUCAAUUGGCGAUAAAUUAUCCAAAUUCAAUAAAUCUUGCUGAUGCAAAAGAUGAACGAAUUAACUCACAAAGACCUUGAUACAAACCAACCUCUUGGGUUUUACAGAAUAGGGCAUUUAAAACCAAUAGAAUGUUGUCUGAUCCCUAGAUUGAGGAUUCAAGUCUUAAUUUGAUCUGAUAAGUACAAACAAGGGUCGAACUCUUAUUCAAAAAACAAAGCCUAGUUCAUCUAGUAAUAACUUCUAUUCCUGUAACAUAGAACAAACAGCAAAAUGAAAGGAACAUGUCACAUGUUUGGAACGACUCAAGGCCUCCGUUCAGAAAAUGAUAUCCUCGUCUUUCUUUGAAGCUUGGGUUAACAAGUCGUGGGCUGAAUUAAGUGGAAAACCUUUCUUCAAAGCAAUGUCCGCAGCAACUUUUUCCUCAGCAAAGGCCUUCGCAGCAGCAACCUGUCUGUCAAUCUCUUUUUUCUUGUAACCUUGUAUCUUCUUCAGCCUGAAGAAAUCCUCUCUUUCCAAUUCAUCCAGUUCUCCCUUAAUGUAACUUAUUGUGUUCUCCAACCGAGGCUUCACAACAUUCUCAAGUGCAUUGACCCUGCGAUUUGUAGUUUUAAUUGCCUCAUCCAGAGUCAAAAAUGAAGUCUGAAGAGAUGCAAGCUCAACAAGCACCUCAAUUGCUUUAACAUAAGCAGUUCGGCAAGCCUGCACCUGCUGUCCACCUCUUGCUAACCCAGUCAGGUCAUUUUUUGUCUCUCCAUCAGUGAAAUAUUCAAAUUUAGGGAGCUUCACACCGGCAAUAUUUUCUUGGUGCGAUCGCACUUUAAGUGAUGCAUUCUGAACAUUUUCAAGGACAACAUGUUUGAUGUUGUCACCAGCCACAUAUUUAGCUUCUGUCAGAGAAAAAUAGGAACUUUUCAAAAUUUCACCCAUUGACUCCUUGGCAGACACAAUCUUCUUGAGAAUCUGUCGAAAUUGCACAGUCAAAGCAUCACUUUUCUUCUUGAGCAAAGCAUGACCUCUCGUUGCACCCACAAGGCGAGCUUUCACAACUCCAAGCAUUGUAACAGUAGGAACAACAUUCAAGCGCUGUGAUUGCCCAGACAUUUUGUCCAAUCUCUUAGCUGCAAAAAUUAUUAUAAAAUGAGCAUUUGUAACCUCCCAAAAAAAAAAAGUGCUGAUUGAUAAUUUAACAUCAACAUGCCAGUGGAAGAUGUUUUAUCAUAGAUAAAUAUGAAGCAGUUGUUCCCAAAUAAAGUUUUUACUUGAGGGUUCAGCCAUAACAUCAAUCAUGCAGUCAAUGGACUAUAAACCUCCAACUAUAGCUGACCAACUCUAUCAAGUGUAAAGCAAGAACCAUUUAUUUAUUAAUUUAAAAAAAACAAUAUUCUUUCCUCAUCUUUAUUCCCAUGGGAGUUCCCUCAGAUUUGGCAAACUCACUUUCAAAUCUAAGUCCUUAUUCUCCAAAGCCACCUCCCCCCCAAAAAAAAAAAAUGACAAAACACCCACACUUUGGAAAACUAAAAAAGUAACUAGAAUGUAUAUGUUCAGAAAAGGGAAAAGGUAAGGAAAGGAACUGCAUUAUUUCUUUUCCUCUCUGAUUAAGCCUCCAUCUCACCUAAGUUCUAAAGACUUUUAAAGAAAUAAAAUGGAAGUCAGUAUGCAAUCUCAUCAGUGUAAGAGACUUCACAAUGCAGCACCUCGUUAUAUCGUUUCUUCUCUCAUCUUUUUCAAACAAAGUUCAAAUUUCUUUUCUCUCUGCACCAAAUAAACUCAAUCCACGGGACCAUUCAUAAAUCUGCUAAAAAAAAUCACAUAAUCACACUUCAAGUUGUCACUCAAUCAUCUAGGAUAACUAUCCCAUACUCUCAACAAACUCAUUAUAUCUUCAUCAUUCCCACAACUUCCUCAACCAAUACCUCAAGUUUUCACUUGAAAAUUCCACCAAAGAAACAGGUGCAAGCAUACAGACACACAAAAUGUUCACCUACAGACACUAUAGUCCCUAUCACAAUAAAAAAAUUUUCACCAAGCCACAAGCAUAGAUCAAUCAAUAAUCACCAAUUCCAACUAUUUUCUGUACAAAAAGUGGUUUAAGGAAAAAAAUAAACAUUUCAGAAAACAGAUCACAAACACUUGAGCUCCAUAUUCCUCAAUAUCCAAAUCAACACAGAAAAUAAAACCCCAAAAAAAAAAAUAGAACACGCACUAGUAUGUGCCACAAUUCUUAACAAAAAGUUAAUGAAGCAAAAAAUUCAGAUACAUAGCAAUCGUAAUUGCCAAAAAGAAGAAAUUUAUGAAUUCUAAAAACAGAGAGAACAGGGAAAGUGAAACAGACGAAAUUUGUGCGCAAUUGUAUAUACAGACGCAGUGAAGGUGUUUGUGCGUGAAGACGAGAAACUGAGAGUUAAAAAAUACCUGCCGAAUGAAGAUGACUUGUGAGUAUAUAGAUUAUGUGGUGGUAGCCGCCGAAAUAGUGUCGCCGGAGGAGGUGAUCGCCACCGAGGACUGACGCCGGAGGAAGCGGGAAUGGGGGUUCUUCGGGAAAGAUCGCGGACUGGGAUCCAAAAACAAGCAGCGUGGUCCGAUUGGAAUUUUGCUUAGUUGUAAUAAAUAAUAAAUAAAUAUAGUUUGAAUAAUAAAAUAUAAUUAAAUCAAUAAUAGUAACGAUAAUAGUAGGAAUAAUUCUGCCGCUUAAACUUCUAACUAAGGGUGUUACGUGUUGCAGUUCAGCUACACGCAAUUUUGACUUUAUCCAGUUGGUAGGUCCCAACAUGUGAUGUCCUUAAUCAAUUGUCACCGCAAUUACAGAAGAAUUACUCCAAUGAUUUUGAUGAAAUUUUUCCCUUAACUUUUGGCUAAAUUGUGAGGAGCCUUUUUAUGCGUUGUUUUUUUUCUAUUAAGUUUAGUUAAUUUGUCUAAAUGCAUAAGUUAUAAUAAUUGUGCUUGUAUAUAUUUACAUAAUAAAUUAAGUGCAAUUUAGAAAGAUUAACAAGUGCUUAUUGAACACAAUUUUUUUAAAAAAAAAUCUAUCGGAGUUUUGCACACAUGUCGUGAAUUCAAUGUACACUGUCAGUAUGUAUAAAAUUUACUCUAAUAAUAAUCACCACCACGAGUUUAGAUGUGUGUUUGGAUUGUAAAUUAUUUGAAAUAAUUUUGUAAAAAAGUACUGUAACACUUUUUUGAUAUGAUGUAUAUGAAAUAAAAAAGUGAUUAGAAAAUGUGUUAAUGAUACAAGCAAAUCAGUGUGUGUAAAUAAAGUGAAAUAACACACAAUCCAAACACAAUCAUUUACUACUAGAGCGAUGAAUGUUGUUUUGUUUCUUUUAUCCAAAAAAAAAAAAAAAAUGUUGUUCUGUUUCUGCUAGUAAUUUAUUUAUUAGUUAUUAAAGGCCAAAUUGUCUACUAGAAAUUUUGCAUUUUCAAUUUCAGUAUGCAUGCAUAUUAUCAGGCCAUUGCUGGAUUAAAGGCAAAAUACCGGUACACACAAUUCCAUAUAUGCCAAAGAACCUUUAUUCUGACAAAAUUUCCAAAAGAUUGUACCAUGUACAAGAACUGAAAACAGAACUGAUGCUUUCCAGACACAACUUGCAGAGUCAGAUAUAGGAUCCAUCAAUGGACUAAAUAUAACACCUCAAUUACAUAUGGAUUCUUAUUAGUUGCUAUUACAUUGAAAGUAUAUCAUCAAAAUACUUGAUCGACACAGCCUGUUGAACACUUCAUUUUCUUUCUUUUUAUUUUGAAGCAUCAUUGAUCAUAGCUAAUCAUAAUCUUCUCGCCUCUGACUGAGCCAUGGUUGAGCUUAGGCUCCAGAACCAGCCAAACGCCUUCUGGUGGCGUUGGAAACAGAAACUUGGCCAAGUCUAUCCACCUCCUUUGCAAUCAUCCGCUCUUUCAGUGGCAUAUAGUGCCGCAACCAGACACCAGUAUAGACCUGCAGUGAAAUAGGAUACAAUGGCAUUGUAAUAUAUGAGCUUCAGAAAUUGUUUCAAGCAGCACUCUGACAAAACAAUGCAUCCUCCGUUCAAUAGCAAAUAAACUACCACUAUUUCCUCAAACCAGGACACAACGAUAGAAAAGAUGGAAACAGUAGCAAGCGAAACCUUAGUCGAAACAUUAAGAUUUAUACUUGCAAAUGAAAAUUUAGAGCAUAUUCGGUCUAUUCAUGUGAAGCUGCAAAAUAUAUAUAUAUAUGAAAUGGAAGUACAACAAACCUGUGCAGGUCUCAUUAUUUUUGUGUCAGGAUCAUCUAGAGACUCUCGCCAAUGAGAUAAAUACCCAGCCAUUCUAGGAAUGGCAAAUAAAACAGGAAAGAACUCCGUGGGGAAACCCAUUGCCCUGAUCAAGAAUAAUGAAAAUCUGUUAGAAAGAAGAUAAUGCAUUAAGAAUUGCUUGCUUGAUAAGAGUGGAAUCAAAUUUAUUUUCCCCAUUACCUAUAUAUUAGCCCAGAGUAAAAGUCAACAUUAGGAUACAACUUUCGCUUAACAAAGUACUCAUCUGAAAGGGCAGCUUUCUCCAAAGCAAUUGCAACCUGCAGGUGGCAUAAGAAAUCAGAUUAUAUAGUGCAAAAUAAGUGGUAUUUUAUAAAGAUGAAAGGACAAUAUAUUCAAAUUAUAAAAGCUUAUGCUACAAACUAGUGAUUGCCAGUACUUGGUUCAACUCAAAUAGAUGAUAGUUAAUAUUUAAAGUGAACAAAUUCCACCUCAAUGAGAGGAUCCCGGCCAACAAUUGAAAAUACUUCUUCUGCCAGCUUCUUUAUGACCUUAGCCCUGGGAUCAUAAUUCUUGUAUACACGGUGUCCAAAACCAGACAUCUUGCGCCUCCUACAGAAUUAAUAUUCCAAAAUAAUAUCAGCAGAAAAGCAAUGAAGCCAUAUGCUAAGAGAUAGUAUCAUCAUUUGUCUGAAAAGCCAUACCUGUUCUUCACACCCUCGAUGAAUUCCGGGAUUUUGUCAACUGUUCCAAUCUCACUCAGCAUCUUAAGCACAGCCUUUUGAAGCAGAAGAAAAGCAAGCUUAGCUAUGCGCAGUGUUGCACUAUAAGACUAAGGCUAAACAAAAAUAAAACCAAUGACAUCUCUGUUAACAUCAUAUUGACAGGUAACAAUGUCAAUAACGUUUUUUAUCCAGCUUAGCAUUUGCAAUGCUGUCGCCGGUCAACUGAAGUUUUUAGUUUCUAAAAGAAAAAAUGGCAAUAUACCUCAUUGGCUCCACCAUGAAGAGGACCAUACAGUGCUCCCACUGCUCCGGCAAGAGCAGUGUAUACAUCAACACCACUGCAUAAAAGAGAAUCAGAUUUCUGCCCAAGAGCAUAUGUAUAUUCUCUCAAUGCAGACAGAAAAUUCAUAUACCUUGAAGCCAGAUGUCGAGCAGCUGCUGUGGAACAAUUCAUUUCAUGUUCUGCAUGUAAUAUAAAAAGGAUAUCGAGAACACGAGCAAGACGAGGAUUGGGCUUAUACAACCUAUUACCUCUGCAGAUUUUGCCAACAUGAAGGGUUAAAUUAGCAUCCAAAUGCCUUGGAAGCAUGCCUAGUUGCUAUAGCAGCAUGUAUGCAGGACAUUAUGCAACACUUGUAAGAAAGGUAAUUAGUCUGAAUAAAGUUUCAAACUUUUCUGUACUGCAGUUCCCAUUAUCUGCCAAGCACUAGGCAAAAAAUAGCAGCACAACUUACAAUGAAUCAAGCAUGUAUAGGAAGUUCUCCGAGUAAGAAAGAUUGUUUGAUGGAAGAACAGGUGGCCUUCCCGCCAUUCUUAAAUAGGCUGCUGCUGCAAUUGUAGGUGCCUGCAAAAGAUAAAUAGAAGUUUAAAAACAGCUGAAAUAGGCCAGAUAGUUUUAUUAUGUUAUAUUUUUCAAGUAAAAAAAGUCCCUAUCAACUAUCAUCAUAAAUAAAAAACACUUCAUGACAAAACAAAAUAGCCAGAUGAAACUUAAAGCAAAUAACCAACCUUCCCAAGUAUGCGGACUAUUUGUUUAUCUCUAACUUGCUUGGACUUGUAUAAAUCUUGGCCCUGCAUAAACAACAAGAAAACAAAAUGUGCAAUAAAUAACAUGAACGCCUGCUUUGUUUUUUAUCAACAAAUAUGCUAAAUGAUCAUAAUCUACCAGAGACAUAAAAUCAACAGGAUCAGAUGAACGCCUAUAACCUAAGUAUGCCUACCACUAAGAUAACAAGGCAAGGGUAACAUAAGUACUUGAAGUAAAGGUUCACUUACUCUAAGAGCAGGAUUGGCAUCAGGAUGAAAGACAGAGAGAGCACUCAUGGCACUGACGAGCACACCCAUUGGAUGAGCAUCAUGAGGCAUUGCCUGUAUGAUAUCCUGCAAAACAGAAUUUGACAAACAUCAGAAAUUCUUCAGGAAGAAAGUUUGUUUUGUCUCCUCAUCAAGUAAAGAACAACUGUAUGAUAAAAUAUACGCACCAAAAUACCCUGUGGGACAGCUGAAUGUUGUGAAAUAGCAAACUCCCAAUCUGCCAACUGACUUUCAGAUGGUAGAUUGCCAUACACUGUCAAGACAAAAAACGCUUUAUUUGUCAAGAACUCUUCAGUUCCAAGCAUAAACAAGUGAUUCGAACAAACAGAUCGUGCAAAGAGUAAGCCUUGCAAAUUGCGUCCUCUACGACUUCCCAAGAUUUGUACAUAGAUAAUGAUUCCGGAUUAGAUGAGGAAAGGAAGAAAGCAUGCAAAUUGCACUCUCCUUAUUGAAAUCUUAACAGCACCUAUGGUACUUAAGAGUCCUCACCAGCCAGACAAAUUCAUGCACCAGACUGCCCAUAGAAAUGUAUUAAGCCAUAGACACAUAUUAAGCCAUAACAAGUGAACUCAUAACAGGGUGAUCUUCGUCUUGGAUAAUAAAAACAAUCUGCACAGAAGAUUAAGCCACAGAGCUGGCCGAAGUCCAAUUUGGGGGACACUCAGUUCUACAUCAAGAAAGAAAGGUAGCUACCAACAGAUUACGGUCCUCAAAAAGUAUGAAUCAAAAGAAAGGGAAUCUUAAUAAUAGCCUGGUAGCUGGUUAAUUAGUACUUCAUGCAUAGGGGAACCUUCAAACUCUUGUUUUACUAAGGGUCAAAAGAAUGAACCCCGUAUUGCUGCCCCCUGCCCACUCCACACAACCCCAACACUUUCACUUCCCUGUAUAUGACAUGCCUGAUUGAAAAGAAAUGGUAAAGAAGAAUGGGAGCAAAAUAUCAUUCACAAAAUCUAUGGAAUACUCACUCAAGAGGUAAGCCACCUCGACAAAGGAACUUCCUUCAGCCAGCUCCUCAAUUGGGAAGCCUCUGUAUCUAAGAAUCCCUGCAUCUCCAUCAAUGUAGCAAAUUGAUGAGCGAACAGGAGCUGUGUUCAGGUAGCCUGGAUCAUAAAGUUUGAGCCCCUUGUCAAUUGGUCCUGCAGUUAUCUGUUUAUUAAUUGUAUCAGAAAUCUCCAAAAAUCCAGACUUUUUCUCCCCUCAGACAAUAGCCAACAUGAACCAGAAUUUCACCAUUUUUUUUCACUUUUUACUCUCUAUGGAAUUUACCAUACCUUCAUGCAAUUCCAAACCUAGAAUUCCAAUUUUUACAGCCAAUACCACGACUAAUCUUACAUGCAGCUCAGCAAUCAUAUAAAUCAUGCUACAUGAGAUUUUUACUCAGCUCCGUAAGCACUUCAUCACGCUCAAUCCCAAAUAUUUUAAUUUCGAGGCCUUAAAAUACACAAAGACCAAAAGCCAGUCUUUUGAAAAUGACAAUACCUUUGCGGUACAUUCUCAUAAAAUGAAAACUAAAUAUACAGUAAGGAUUCCAAAGAAAUGUAAAAUUGGACAUGUAACCUUUAAACAAACUCAAUUCUCAAUAAUAAAAAAAAAUAAAUCCGAAAUUAUAACAAUAACAAACUCAAACAAAAAAAAAAUCAAAACUUAAAUAACGAAUAGCUACAGCAGUUAAUAGCGAGAAAUGACAUCUUAUUCGGCUUCAAUUUUAUUUGAAAAAAAAAAAAAAAGUUAACCUUUUUGAGAUCGGUGGCUUUAAUAGUGCCUUCUUCAGAGACCUGGACCUGGUACUUUUUACCGGUCCGUUCAUCGAUGAUCGUCAACGCACCCUUAACGUUGGGCGGAGGCGGGACGGAUUGAGCGGAGACGCAGGAACGUUCUAGAAUUGAGGACGGAACGGCGUCGGAAUGGUCAUGCGAAGCUGAAGCUGAAGCUGAGAGGUGAGCCGAGAGCACCGCUAAACGGCUACGAGCCACUACCGAAGAAUCCAAAUUCUCCAUCUUUUCUUUUGCUCAGAUUCAGUUGUAAAGAAAGAGAUGAAAAGAGAGAGUAGGAAGUGUUUCGUGAUUGUUACAGCUCUUUAUAUAUCCGUAGAGAUCGCUUGCGAAAGUACGCUGUAAGCAUUUACGCUAUUGCGUCUAACCAAUU
This 38471-nucleotide long non-coding RNA is filed under the name Coffea arabica (coffee). RNAcentral describes it as "long non-coding RNA (CARA_LNC003873)". The record is from RNAcentral. Lineage: Eukaryota; Viridiplantae; Streptophyta; Magnoliopsida; Gentianales; Rubiaceae.